This 453-nucleotide long non-coding RNA is filed under the name Mus spicilegus (steppe mouse). RNAcentral describes it as "lncRNA (ENSMSIG00000019024.1)". The record is from RNAcentral. Lineage: Eukaryota; Metazoa; Chordata; Mammalia; Rodentia; Muridae.
UUCUCUGCAUCUGAGCCACAUGACCUGCCAAGUUGACACCUGUAUUUUGAUUUCCUUAUGUCUUGCAGAACCUGGAUGCUCCUGAGGACCCCCCAGGAAAGUAAGCACCUGGCAUGUGUAUCAGAAGACCCCCUACUGUCUCACACACAGGCACCGGCUUCUUCUUGACAACGUCCCCGGGUGACUCUUAGAACUCAAUGGCCACGUCCAGCUCAGAGAUCAGAAGCAGUGCGUGUCCCAGAGUGCUACCAUAAUGAUGCCGUCCAGGUCCACAGUACAACCGGCUGCCUUGGUCAUUGCCGUAAUGACAGUACAUUCCAACUUCUCAAGGUAGGACAAUCCAGGGCAUGCUCUGGGAGGCCAGGAGUGACUGGAAGGCUCUGCUACCCCUGUGUUGGGGGGGGUGGAGGGCCCUUAAAAAAUGAGGAGAUAGUUCCAAGUAAAAAUCUUCUU